Molecule: ribosomal RNA, 318 nt
Filed under: uncultured bacterium
Lineage: Bacteria
Description: bacterial SSU rRNA
Rfam family: Bacterial small subunit ribosomal RNA
Source: RNAcentral
AUUGAACGCUGGCGGAAUGCUUUACACAUGCAAGUCGAGCGGCAGCGCGGGGCGACCUGGCGGCGAGCGGCGAACGGGUGAGUAACAUAUCGGAACGUACCCAGUUGUGGGGAUAACACACCGAAAGGUGUGCUAAUACCGCAUACGACCUGAGGGUGAAAGGCGGGGACGUCGCAAGAGCCUCGCGCAAUUGGAGCGGCCGAUAUCGGAUUAGCUAGUUGGUGGGGAAAGGCUCACCAAGGCGACGAUCCGUAGCGGGUCUGAGAGGACGACCCGCCACACUGGAACUGAGACACGGUCCAGACUCCUACGGGAGGC